AGAGUUUGAUCCUGGCUCAGGAUGAACGCUGGCGGCGUGCCUAAUACAUGCAAGUCGAGCGAACGGACGAGAAGCUUGCUUUUCUGAUGUUAGCGGCGGACGGGUGAGUAACACGUGGAUAACCUACCUAUAAGACUGGGAUAACUUCGGGAAACCGUAGCUAAUACCGGAUAAUAUUUUGAACCGCAUGGUUCAAAAGUGAAAGACGGUCUUGCUGUCACUUAUAGAUGGAUCCGCGCUGCAUUAGCUAGUUGGUAAGGUAACGGCUUACCAAGGCAACGAUGCAUAGCCGACCUGAGAGGGUGAUCGGCCACACUGGAACUGAGACACGGUCCAGACUCCUACGGGAGGCAGCAGUAGGGAAUCUUCCGCAAUGGGCGAAAGCCUGACGGAGCAACGCCGCGUGAGUGAUGAAGGUCUUCGGAUCGUAAAACUCUGUUAUUAGGGAAGAACAUAUGUGUAAGUAACUGUGCACAUCUUGACGGUACCUAAUCAGAAAGCCACGGCUAACUACGUGCCAGCAGCCGCGGUAAUACGUAGGUGGCAAGCGUUAUCCGGAAUUAUUGGGCGUAAAGCGCGCGUAGGCGGUUUUUUAAGUCUGAUGUGAAAGCCCACGGCUCAACCGUGGAGGGUCAUUGGAAACUGGAAAACUUGAGUGCAGAAGAGGAAAGUGGAAUUCCAUGUGUAGCGGUGAAAUGCGCAGAGAUAUGGAGGAACACCAGUGGCGAAGGCGACUUUCUGGUCUGUAACUGACGCUGAUGUGCGAAAGCGUGGGGAUCAAACAGGAUUAGAUACCCUGGUAGUCCACGCCGUAAACGAUGAGUGCUAAGUGUUAGGGGGUUUCCGCCCCUUAGUGCUGCAGCUAACGCAUUAAGCACUCCGCCUGGGGAGUACGACCGCAAGGUUGAAACUCAAAGGAAUUGACGGGGACCCGCACAAGCGGUGGAGCAUGUGGUUUAAUUCGAAGCAACGCGAAGAACCUUACCAAAUCUUGACAUCCUUUGACAACUCUAGAGAUAGAGCCUUCCCCUUCGGGGGACAAAGUGACAGGUGGUGCAUGGUUGUCGUCAGCUCGUGUCGUGAGAUGUUGGGUUAAGUCCCGCAACGAGCGCAACCCUUAAGCUUAGUUGCCAUCAUUAAGUUGGGCACUCUAAGUUGACUGCCGGUGACAAACCGGAGGAAGGUGGGGAUGACGUCAAAUCAUCAUGCCCCUUAUGAUUUGGGCUACACACGUGCUACAAUGGACAAUACAAAGGGCAGCGAAACCGCGAGGUCAAGCAAAUCCCAUAAAGUUGUUCUCAGUUCGGAUUGUAGUCUGCAACUCGACUACAUGAAGCUGGAAUCGCUAGUAAUCGUAGAUCAGCAUGCUACGGUGAAUACGUUCCCGGGUCUUGUACACACCGCCCGUCACACCACGAGAGUUUGUAACACCCGAAGCCGGUGGAGUAACCUUUUAGGAGCUAGCCGUCGAAGGUGGGACAAAUGAUUGGGGUGAAGUCGUAACAAGGUAGCCGUAUCGGAAGGUGCGGCUGGAUCACCU
RNAcentral lists this ribosomal RNA (1540 nucleotides) under Staphylococcus aureus SMMC6014. Its description in RNAcentral is "16S ribosomal RNA". It matches the Rfam family "Bacterial small subunit ribosomal RNA". The record is from RNAcentral. RNAcentral also lists the same sequence under 13 other names. Lineage: Bacteria; Bacillati; Bacillota; Bacilli; Caryophanales; Staphylococcaceae.